ACGCUGGCAGCAUGCUUUACACAUGCAAGUCGGACGGCAGCACAGAGAAGCUUGCUUCUUGGGUGGCGGGUGGCGAACGGGUGAGUAACAUAUCGGAACGUACCGAGUAAUGGGGGAUAACUAAUCGAAAGAUUAGCUAAUACCGCAUAUUCUCUGAGGAGGAAAGCAGGGGACCUUCGGGCCUUGCGUUAUUCGAGCGGCCGAUAUCUGAUUAGCUAGUUGGUGGGGUAAAGGCCUACCAAGGCGACGAUCAGUAGCGGGUCUGAGAGGAUGAUCCGCCACACUGGGACUGAGACACGGCCCAGACUCCUACGGGAGGCAGCAGUGGGGAAUUUUGGACAAUGGGCGCAAGCCUGAUCCAGCCAUGCCGCGUGUCUGAAGAAGGCCUUCGGGUUGUAAAGGACUUUUGUCAGGGAAGAAAAGGCUGUUGCUAAUACCGACAGUUGAUGACGGUACCUGAAGAAUAAGCACCGGCUAACUACGUGCCAGCAGCCGCGGUAAUACGUAGGGUGCGAGCGUUAAUCGGAAUUACUGGGCGUAAAGCGAGCGCAGACGGUUACUUAAGCAGGAUGUGAAAUCCCCGGGCUCAACCUGGGAACUGCGUUCUGAACUGGGUGACUAGAGUGUGUCAGAGGGAGGUAGAAUUCCACGUGUAGCAGUGAAAUGCGUAGAGAUGUGGAGGAAUACCGAUGGCGAAGGCAGCCUCCUGGGAUAACACUGACGUUCAUGCUCGAAAGCGUGGGAAGCAAACAGGAUUAGAUACCCUGGUAGUCCACGCCCUAAACGAUGUCAAUUAGCUGUUGGGCAACUUGAUUGCUUAGUAGCGUAGCUAACGCGUGAAAUUGACCGCCUGGGGAGUACGGUCGCAAGAUUAAAACUCAAAGGAAUUGACGGGGACCCGCACAAGCGGUG
RNAcentral lists this ribosomal RNA (912 nucleotides) under uncultured bacterium. RNAcentral's name for it is "bacterial SSU rRNA". It matches the Rfam family "Bacterial small subunit ribosomal RNA", at positions 33 to 934 of the family's 1533-position model. The record is from RNAcentral.